ACCAGCAGCCAGAACACACAGCACCCCCCAGCUCCCAGCCCCACUGCAGCUCAGCAGGUGUGAGCCUGGUCAGUACCUGGAUGGGAGACCUCCUGGGAAAACUAAGGUAGCUGCAUGAA
RNAcentral lists this ribosomal RNA (119 nucleotides) under Lepisosteus oculatus (spotted gar). Lineage: Eukaryota; Metazoa; Chordata; Actinopteri; Semionotiformes; Lepisosteidae. The record is from RNAcentral.